UACGUAGGUGGCAAGCGUUGUCCGGAAUUACUGGGCGUAAAGCGCGCGCAGGCGGUCCUUUAAGUCUGAUGUGAAAGCCCACGGCUCAACCGUGGAGGGUCAUUGGAAACUGGGGGACUUGAGUACAGAAGAGAAGAGUGGAAUUCCACGUGUAGCGGUGAAAUGCGUAGAGAUGUGGAGGAACACCAGUGGCGAAGGCGACUCUUUGGUCUGUAACUGACGCUGAGGCGCGAAAGCGUGGGGAGCAAACAGG
This 253-nucleotide ribosomal RNA is filed under the name uncultured bacterium. RNAcentral's name for it is "partial 16S ribosomal RNA". It matches the Rfam family "Bacterial small subunit ribosomal RNA", at positions 524 to 776 of the family's 1533-position model. The record is from RNAcentral.